GUUAUGUGUGUUUUAGUGGAACGCUCUGGGAAGUGCGAACGUAGAGGGUGAUAUUCCCGUACACGAAAGGGCACACAUAAUGAUGACGAGUAGGGCGAGGCACGUGAAACCUUGUCUGAAUAUGGGGGGACCAUCCUCCAAGGCUAAAUACUCCUGACUGACCGAUAGUGAACCAGUACCGUGAGGGAAAGGCGAAAAGAACCCCUGUGAGGGGAGUGAAAUAGAUCCUGAAACCGCAUGCAUACAAGCAGUGGGAGCACCUUCGUGGUGUGACUGCGUACCUUUUGUAUAAUGGGUCAGCGACUUAUAUUCAGUAGCGAGGUUAACCGUAUAGGGGAGCCGUAGAGAAAUCGAGUCUUAAUAGGGCGUUUAGUUGCUGGGUAUAGACCCGAAACCAGGCGAUCUAUCCAUGAGCAGGUUGAAGGUUGGGUAACACUAACUGGAGGACCGAACCCACUGUCGUUGAAAAGCCAGGGGAUGACUUGUGGAUAGGGGUGAAAGGCUAAUCAAGCCUGGUGAUAGCUGGUUCUCCCCGAAAGCUAUUUAGGUAGCGCCUCGGACGAAUACCAUAGGGGGUAGAGCACUGUUUCGGCUAGGGGGUCAUCCCGACUUACCAAACCGAUGCAAACUCCGAAUACCUAUGAGUACUAUCCGGGAGACAGACUGCGGGUGCUAACGUCCGUAGUCAAGAGGAAAACAAUCCAGACCGCCAGCUAAGGCCCCAAAAUCAUAGUUAAGUGGGAAACGAUGUGGGAAGGCAUAGACAGCUAGGAGGUUGGCUUAGAAGCAGCCACCCUUUAAAGAAAGCGUAAUAGCUCACUAGUCGAGUCGGCCUGCGCGGAAGAUGUAACGGGGCUAAAACUAUGUGCCGAAGCUGCGGAUGUAUACUUUGUAUACGUGGUAGGGGAGCGUUCUGUAAGCCGAUGAAGGUGUGUUGAGAAGCAUGCUGGAGGUAUCAGAAGUGCGAAUGCUGACGUGAGUAACGACAAAACGGGUGAAAAACCCGUUCGCCGAAAGACCAAGGGUUCCAGUCCAACGUUAAUCGGGGCUGGGUGAGUCGACCCCUAAGGCGAGGCCGAAAGGCGUAGUCGAUGGGAAAAUGGUUAAUAUUCCAUUACUUCUGUGUAAUGCGAUGAGAGGACGGAGAAGGCUAAAUCAGCCUGGCGUUGGUUGUCCAGGUGAAAGGAUGUAGGCAUGUAUCUUAGGCAAAUCCGGGGUACUCUAUGCUGAGAUCUGAUAGCAAGCUGUACUUGUACAGCGAAGUGGUUGAUGCCAUGCUUCCAGGAAAAGUCUCUAAGCUUCAGUUACACAGGAAUCGUACCCGAAACCGACACAGGUGGUCAGGUCGAGUAGACCAAGGCGCUUGAGAGAACUCUGCUGAAGGAACUAGGCAAAAUGGUACCGUAACUUCGGGAGAAGGUACGCUGUUGUUGGUGAUGGAACUCGCUUCCUGAGCUGACGACAGCCGCAGAAACCAGGCCGCUGCAACUGUUUAUUAAAAACAUAGCACUCUGCAAACACGAAAGUGGACGUAUAGGGUGUGAUGCCUGCCCGGUGCUGGAAGGUUAAUUGAUGGGGUUAGCGUAAGCGAAGCUCUUGAUCGAAGCCCCAGUAAACGGCGGCCGUAACUAUAACGGUCCUAAGGUAGCGAAAUUCCUUGUCGGGUAAGUUCCGACCUGCACGAAUGGCAUAAUGAUGGCGGCGCUGUCUCCAGCAGAGGCUCAGUGAAAUCGAAAUCGCUGUGAAGAUGCAGUGUACCCGCGGCUAGACGGAAAGACCCCGUGAACCUUUACUGCAGCUUGACACUGAACUUUGACCUUACUUGUGUAGGAUAGGUGGGAGGCUUUGAAGCUGGAACGCUAGUUCCAGUGGAGCCGUCCUUGAAAUACCACCCUGGUAAUGUUGAGGUUCUAACUCUGUCCCGUGAUCCGGGACGAGGACCGUGUCUGGUGGGUAGUUUGACUGGGGCGGUCUCCUCCUAAAGAGUAACGGAGGAGUACGAAGGUGCGCUCAGCGUGGUCGGAAAUCACGCGUAGAGUAUAAAGGCAAAAGCGCGCUUAACUGCGAGACCCACAAGUCGAGCAGGUACGAAAGUAGGUCUUAGUGAUCCGGUGGUUCUGUAUGGAAGGGCCAUCGCUCAACGGAUAAAAGGUACUCUGGGGAUAACAGGCUGAUACCGCCCAAGAGUUCAUAUCGACGGCGGUGUUUGGCACCUCGAUGUCGGCUCAUCUCAUCCUGGGGCUGAAGCAGGUCCCAAGGGUAUGGCUGUUCGCCAUUUAAAGAGGUACGCGAGCUGGGUUUAGAACGUCGUGAGACAGUUCGGUCCCUAUCUACCGUGGGCGCUGGAAAUUUGAGAGGAUCUGCUCCUAGUACGAGAGGACCAGAGUGGACGAACCUCUGGUGUACCGGUUGUGACGCCAGUCGCAUCGCCGGGUAGCUAUGUUCGGAAGGGAUAACCGCUGAAAGCAUCUAAGCGGGAAGCCUACCUCAAGAUAAGAUUUCCCUAGGACUUUAUGUCCUCUAAAGAGCCGUUCGAGACUAGGACGUUGAUAGGUUGGAUGUGGAAGCAUAGUGAUAUGUGAAGCUGACCAAUACUAAUUGCUCGUGAGGCUUGACUA
RNAcentral lists this ribosomal RNA (2618 nucleotides) under Acinetobacter baumannii 628418. Its description in RNAcentral is "bacterial LSU rRNA". It matches the Rfam family "Bacterial large subunit ribosomal RNA", at positions 317 to 2925 of the family's 2925-position model. Lineage: Bacteria; Pseudomonadati; Pseudomonadota; Gammaproteobacteria; Moraxellales; Moraxellaceae. The record is from RNAcentral.